Molecule: long non-coding RNA, 135 nt
Organism: Sander lucioperca (pikeperch)
Lineage: Eukaryota; Metazoa; Chordata; Actinopteri; Perciformes; Percidae
Exons: 3
Source: RefSeq, a predicted model, not a curated record
CCCAGAGACUCUAGCACUGGCCUGAACCGUGUGGGCUUCUCUGUUGUACCUGAUUCUGAUGCUAUCUGAUUUGGACAUCUGCCAUCUCAUCUCUCGGCACAAGCAGUAGAGCUCAUUUUUACUAAACAGAAGGAU